UACGUAGGGUGCAAGCGUUAAUCGGAAUUACUGGGCGUAAAGCGUGCGCAGGCGGCUUUGCAAGACAGAUGUGAAAUCCCCGGGCUUAACCUGGGAACUGCAUUUGUGACUGCAUGGCUGGAGUGCGGCAGAGGGGGAUGGAAUUCCGCGUGUAGCAGUGAAAUGCGUAGAUAUCGAGAGGAACACCUGCGGCGAAGGCGGGUAGCUGGGCCGACACUGACGCUGAUGCGCGAAAGCCAGGGGAGCGAACGGG
Molecule: ribosomal RNA, 253 nt
Filed under: uncultured bacterium
Lineage: Bacteria
Description: partial 16S ribosomal RNA
Rfam family: Bacterial small subunit ribosomal RNA
Source: RNAcentral